CAAUAUCUCCCAAAGGGCCGUCACCGGGGCCUUCACAACCUCUGAAAACCACUUGGUAAGCUCCGUAACCUCCUCCGGUGAUGAAUCUAGUGAAACCCACACCGUUUGCCCUUGCAAUGCCCCUCUUCAGUUCGUCUCCGACCGAUCGCCGUCCUUCAAGGCGUUCAAUCAGUCUCGUGUCUCUUUCGCUAUCAUCUAUCGCCCCAAUGACUCUGAUAGCUGAUCAGAUCGCUGGC
This 236-nucleotide long non-coding RNA is filed under the name Elaeis guineensis (African oil palm). RNAcentral's name for it is "long non-coding RNA (EGUI_LNC027098)". The record is from RNAcentral. Lineage: Eukaryota; Viridiplantae; Streptophyta; Magnoliopsida; Arecales; Arecaceae.